GCCCCUACCGCUCCCUCCGAACUCGGCAGGCUGGUAGUAAUGCGAGGAGCUGGCGAGUGUCUGGAUUGUAAUGAAGUUUAAAGGGCUCCUAGUAGUGCUAAAUCACCAUGGCAACAUCCCCAUCAAAAGAUCCUCGGGCCACGGCUGCAUUUAUUGCCAGAAAUGAAGCACUAGGAAUGCAUAUGGAAGACAGGCUGGAUUCGAUACAAAGGAGGAACCAGAGACCAGAAGAAGAUGCAAAAGGAGAGAUGGGCUUCAGGGGCCCAGAACCAUGCUCAGAAAGAUGUUCACCACUGCUAAACACAAAGCACUCCAACCAAAGUUACAACUUUGUUUUGACUCCAAGGCUUACAUCAUUAUGCCAAGGAAAAUAAAUGACUUUUCCCUACUAUACCUUUAGUACCAAUUUUCCUCAAUAGGAAAAAAAUCUUAACAUUUUGAUGUUCAAAC
Pipistrellus kuhlii (Kuhl's pipistrelle) is the source of this 450-nucleotide long non-coding RNA. RefSeq lists it as uncharacterized. The transcript has 3 exons. Lineage: Eukaryota; Metazoa; Chordata; Mammalia; Chiroptera; Vespertilionidae. The record is from RefSeq and is a predicted model, not a curated record.